RNAcentral lists this ribosomal RNA (502 nucleotides) under uncultured bacterium. RNAcentral describes it as "bacterial SSU rRNA". It matches the Rfam family "Bacterial small subunit ribosomal RNA", at positions 29 to 523 of the family's 1533-position model. The record is from RNAcentral.
AUUGAACGCUGGCGGCAUGCCUUACACAUGCAAGUCGGACGGCAUCGCGGGGGCGACCCUGGCGGCGAGUGGCGAACGGGUGAGUAGACUGUCGGAACGUACCCGGUAGAGGGGACAACCCAGCGAAAGCUGGGCUAAUACCGCAUAAGAUCCGAGGAUGAAAGCGGGGGACCUGCGAGGGCCUCGCGCUACCGGAACGGCCGACACCUGAUUAGCCAGUUGGCGGAGUAAAAGCCCACCAAAGCGACGAUCAGUAGCUGGUCUGAGAAGACGACCAGCCACACCGGAACUGAGACACGGUCCGGACUCCUGCGGGAGGCAGCAGUGGGGAAUCCUGGACAAUGGGCGCAAGCCUGAUCCGGCAAUGCCGCGUGAGCGAAGAAGGCCCUCGGGUUGUAAAGCUCUUUAGCCGGGGAAGAAAGGCACCUUCUAAAAGAGGGUGUUGCUGACAGUACCCGGAAAAUAAGACAACCGGCUGACUACAUGCCAGCAGCCGCGGUAA